GAUGAACGCUGGCGGCGUGCCUAAUACAUGCAAGUCGAGCGAACAGACGAGGAGCUUGCUCCUUUGACGUUAGCGGCGGACGGGUGAGUAACACGUAGGUAACCUACCUAUAAGACUGGGAUAACUUCGGGAAACCGGAGCUAAUACCGGAUAAUAUUUCGAACCGCAUGGUUCGAUAGUGAAAGAUGGCUUUGCUAUCACUUAUAGAUGGACCUGCGCCGUAUUAGCUAGUUGGUAAGGUAACGGCUUACCAAGGCAACGAUACGUAGCCGACCUGAGAGGGUGAUCGGCCACACUGGAACUGAGACACGGUCCAGACUCCUACGGGAGGCAGCAGUAGGGAAUCUUCCGCAAUGGGCGAAAGCCUGACGGAGCAACGCCGCGUGAGUGAUGAAGGUCUUCGGAUCGUAAAACUCUGUUAUUGGGGAAGAACAAACGUGUAAGUAGCUGUGCACGUCUUGACGGUACCUAAUCAGAAAGCCACGGCUAACUACGUG
This 497-nucleotide ribosomal RNA is filed under the name uncultured bacterium. RNAcentral's name for it is "partial 16S ribosomal RNA". It matches the Rfam family "Bacterial small subunit ribosomal RNA", at positions 28 to 507 of the family's 1533-position model. The record is from RNAcentral.